AGGCGUGAUGACGAGGCACUACGGUGCUGAAGCAACAAAUGCCCUGCUUCCAGGAAAAGCCUCUAAGCAUCAGGUAACAUCAAAUCGUACCCCAAACCGACACAGGUGGUCAGGUAGAGAAUACCAAGGCGCUUGAGAGAACUCGGGUGAAGGAACUAGGCAAAAUGGUGCCGUAACUUCGGGAGAAGGCACGCUGAUAUGUAGGUGAAGUCCCUCGCGGAUGGAGCUGAAAUCAGUCGAAGAUACCAGCUGGCUGCAACUGUUUAUUAAAAACACAGCACUGUGCAAACACGAAAGUGGACGUAUACGGUGUGACGCCUGCCCGGUGCCGGAAGGUUAAUUGAUGGGGUCAGCGCAAGCGAAGCUCUUGAUCGAAGCCCCGGUAAACGGCGGCCGUAACUAUAACGGUCCUAAGGUAGCGAAAUUCCUUGUCGGGUAAGUUCCGACCUGCACGAAUGGCGUAAUGAUGGCCAGGCUGUCUCCACCCGAGACUCAGUGAAAUUGAACUCGCUGUGAAGAUGCAGUGUACCCGCGGCAAGACGGAAAGACCCCGUGAACCUUUACUAUAGCUUGACACUGAACAUUGAGCCUUGAUGUGUAGGAUAGGUGGGAGGCUUUGAAGUGUGGACGCCAGUCUGCAUGGAGCCGACCUUGAAAUACCACCCUUUAAUGUUUGAUGUUCUAACGUGGACCCGUGAUCCGGGUUGCGGACAGUGUCUGGUGGGUAGUUUGACUGGGGCGGUCUCCUCCUAAAGAGUAACGGAGGAGCACGAAGGUUGGCUAAUCCUGGUCGGACAUCAGGAGGUUAGUGCAAUGGCAUAAGCCAGCUUGACUGCGAGCGUGACGGCGCGAGCAGGUGCGAAAGCAGGUCAUAGUGAUCCGGUGGUUCUGAAUGGAAGGGCCAUCGCUCAACGGAUAAAAGGUACUCCGGGGAUAACAGGCUGAUACCGCCCAAGAGUUCAUAUCGACGGCGGUGUUUGGCACCUCGAUGUCGGCUCAUCACAUCCUGGGGCUGAAGUAGGUCCCAAGGGUAUGGCUGUUCGCCAUUUAAAGUGGUACGCGAGCUGGGUUUAGAACGUCGUGAGACAGUUCGGUCCCUAUCUGCCGUGGGCGCUGGAGAACUGAGGGGGGCUGCUCCUAGUACGAGAGGACCGGAGUGGACGCAUCACUGGUGUUCGGGUUGUCAUGCCAAUGGCACUGCCCGGUAGCUAAAUGCGGAAGAGAUAAGUGCUGAAAGCAUCUAAGCACGAAACUUGCCCCGAGAUGAGUUCUCCCUGACCCUUUAAGGGUCCUGAAGGAACGUUGAAGACGACGACGUUGAUAGGCCGGGUGUGUAAGCGCAGCGAUGCGUUGAGCUAACCGGUACUAAUGAACCGUGAGGCUUAACCUUACAACGCCGAAGGUGUUU
This 1408-nucleotide ribosomal RNA is filed under the name Escherichia coli. RNAcentral's name for it is "partial 23S ribosomal RNA". It matches the Rfam family "Bacterial large subunit ribosomal RNA", at positions 1559 to 2925 of the family's 2925-position model. The record is from RNAcentral. Lineage: Bacteria; Pseudomonadati; Pseudomonadota; Gammaproteobacteria; Enterobacterales; Enterobacteriaceae.